UACAUUUUUUAGUAAUCUUUAUAUUGUGUCAUGUGUUGUUGCAGAUUUAGUCUUUAAAUUUUUUGAACGGUUUACUAAAUGAGGACUGAAAUCCCCACGAAGAACAUUUAAUUGCUGUCAGUUUAUUUUCUGUAUUUAUUUAUUAUAAUUUAACAACUCAAAUAAUGUGUAGUUUUAUGUGUUUUGUGUAAGGUUUUUCAUGCUGCUGAUGAGUUUAAAAAUGUUGCCUGCUUGUUUUAUUUCCAGUCUAGUUUGAUAUAUUUCAGCCCAUUCUGUACGAUGAUUCUCUCUGUGCUGAUAUGCAUGAGAGGCUUCUUAAAGGGAAGUGAAACAAUGUGUGAGUGAGUGACUAGUAGAGCAGAAAAAACAUCUGACAGAAACUUCUUUAAGGAGAAGAGCAACUCUCACACAGGAAAGGUGUCCAAGUGUCUGCUGGUUGAUUGACAGCUGUGUGUUCCCGCUGUCCUCUAAUCUGAUUGGUGUCUCCUAGGUGAUGCCCGUCCCACCCUGAUGGUGCUGCCCCCCUCCACUGAGCAGUUGCAGCAAGGGCAGGCCACGCUCAUGUGCCUGGCCAACAAGGGCUUCCCCUCAGACUGGAGUCUGGCCUGGAAGGUGGACGGCAGCAGCAGCAGCAGCAGCAGCUGGGAGCAGAGCAGCAGCCCCGGGGUGCUGGAGAAGGACGGCCACUACAGCUGGAGCAGCACCCUGAGGCUCUCUGCAGACCAGUGGAGGAAAGUGGGCUCUGUGACCUGUGAGGCCACCCAGGGCUCCCAGACUCCGCUCUCAGAGACCCUGAGGAGAGACCAGUGUCCCCAGUCCUGAUCUGACUCACUGGUUUUACUCUGCUACUGCUCUCAGUCUGCACUCUUUCUCUGUUUUUCUCAUGAUUUUUCAACAUUAACUUGUUCUUGCUUGUGCUGACAGUUUUAACAUUUUCAAACAAUAAAGAAUCCCAUUGUGUAUUAUA
Centropristis striata (black sea bass) is the source of this 967-nucleotide non-coding RNA. The record is from the annotation of a RefSeq genome assembly. Lineage: Eukaryota; Metazoa; Chordata; Actinopteri; Perciformes; Serranidae.